RNAcentral lists this ribosomal RNA (389 nucleotides) under uncultured Desulfocapsa sp. RNAcentral describes it as "bacterial SSU rRNA". It matches the Rfam family "Bacterial small subunit ribosomal RNA", at positions 997 to 1382 of the family's 1533-position model. The record is from RNAcentral. Lineage: Bacteria; Pseudomonadati; Thermodesulfobacteriota; Desulfobulbia; Desulfobulbales; Desulfocapsaceae.
CUUGUGGAAACACGAGAGUGCCUCGCAAGAGGAGCCUGGAGACAGGUGCUGCAUGGCUGUCGUCAGCUCGUGUCGUGAGAUGUUCGGGUUAAGUCCCGCAACGAGCGCAACCCCUAUCUUUAGUUGCCAUCAUUGAGUUGGGCACUCUAAAGAGACUGCCGGUGUCAAACCGGAGGAAGGUGGGGAUGACGUCAAGUCCUCAUGGCCUUUAUGACCAGGGCUACACACGUACUACAAUGGCCGGUACAAAGGGCAGCGACACAGCGAUGUGAAGCGAAUCCCGAAAAGCCGGUCUCAGUCCGGAUUGGAGUCUGCAACUCGACUCCAUGAAGUUGGAAUCGCUAGUAAUCGCGGAUCAGCACGCCGCGGUGAAUACGUUCCCGGGCCUU